This 427-nucleotide ribosomal RNA is filed under the name uncultured bacterium. Its description in RNAcentral is "partial 16S ribosomal RNA". It matches the Rfam family "Bacterial small subunit ribosomal RNA", at positions 355 to 774 of the family's 1533-position model. The record is from RNAcentral.
UGGGGAAUAUUGUACAAUGGGCGCAAGCCUGAUGCAGCCAUGCCGCGUGUAUGAAGAAGGCCUUCGGGUUGUAAAGUACUUUCAGCGAGGAGGAAGGCGUUGUGGUUAAUAACCGCAACGAUUGACGUUACUCGCAGAAGAAGCACCGGCUAACUCCGUGCCAGCAGCCGCGGUAAUACGGAGGGUGCAAGCGUUAAUCGGAAUUACUGGGCGUAAAGCGCACGCAGGCGGUCUGUCAAGUCGGAUGUGAAAUCCCCGGGCUCAACCUGGGAACUGCAUCCGAAACUGGCAGGCUAGAGUCUUGUAGAGGGGGGUAGAAUUCCAGGUGUAGCGGUGAAAUGCGUAGAGAUCUGGAGGAAUACCGGUGGCGAAGGCGGCCCCCUGGACAAAGACUGACGCUCAGGUGCGAAAGCGUGGGGAGCAAACA